UACGUAGGGACCUAGCGUUGUCCGGAAUCAUUGGGCGUAAAGCGCGCGUAGGCGGCUAUUUAAGUCGGAUGUGAAAGCCCCUGGCUCAACUGGGGAAGUGCACCCGAAACUGAAUGGCUUGAGUGCAAAAGAGGGCCGCGGAAUUCCCGGUGUAGAGGUGAAAUUCGUAGAUAUCGGGAGGAACACCGGUGGCGAAGGCGGCGGCCUGGGUUGACACUGACGCUGAGGCGCGAAAGCGUGGGGAGCAAACAGG
Molecule: ribosomal RNA, 253 nt
Filed under: uncultured bacterium
Lineage: Bacteria
Description: partial 16S ribosomal RNA
Rfam family: Bacterial small subunit ribosomal RNA
Source: RNAcentral